AAACUCCAUGUGAAAAGUUAUGACUUACUGGACGAAAAUCACGUGCAAAGUCAGAUAAAUAAAUAAAUAAACAAAUAAAUAAAGCAAUAACGCACACGUGCAUAAGUGUGUGAACCAUAACAUGCAGUGCCUACAGUACGAGCACGUUUUAGUGAGUCACGUGAUUCUCCUAGAGGACGCAUGCUAUUUCAUACGUCAUGGAUGUUCGUGUGUGAGACAGAAUGACGUCAGAGUUGUUUGUUGAACCUAUAGAUGGCGGAAGACUCCUUUCCGUGUCACGCGCUUUAUUCCAGUCUUUGACUUAAUUUCGGUUUGAAGCAGAAAAAAAAAGAAGCAAAACUGUAGCUGGGAAAAGUUGAACACACGCAUUAGCAUGCUUCGAAAUCGAAAUGUGCAUGAAGCUGCGCGCGCGGAUCAGCGUUCUGGGUUAAAAAAGCGUGCUGUUCUCGUGCUGCAGAGGCGCGCGCGCUCCACUCCAUGGAUGAGUCCUCUGCCUGCGUCUCGCGCACCAAAUCUCCGUUUUCUCUCUCUCUGACCGCUCAGUUGUUGUUGUUGUUGUUGUUGUUUUUUUUUUCUUCGCAACGCUUCAUGACAUGACAUGACAGACGCUCGAGCUGGAUUUGCUUUCUUUUCUUCUUCUUCUUCUCUUCUCUUCUUUUUUAAUUAUUUUUUUUAUACUUCUUUCCGACGUCAUCUGCUCUUCUCACGCGACGAUCAGAGGCUGGAUCCCGGGACGUCUCUUAGUCGCGCGCACGGUAAGCAGGACAAAGAGACUAGCUGUCUGAAGGAGAUGUCAGAGAUAGUCACUGGAACCUUCUUAGAGAAACGCGAUGACCACAGAUGACCCAGCGGACAUUGGGAUAAUCCUGGAAGGCGUGGAGAUUUCAGUUAUACCCGUGAAGGGGUGUUAAAAUGGAAGAAUUGGACCAAUCCCAAAAGGCCUGGAUUUCCAUCAUGUCCAUGGAUAUCAUCAUAACAAUGCACUGUCACAUCUCUGAUAUCUAAAUGUGCC
Ictalurus punctatus (channel catfish) is the source of this 1012-nucleotide long non-coding RNA. NCBI's taxonomy places the organism in Eukaryota, Metazoa, Chordata, Actinopteri, Siluriformes, Ictaluridae. The record is from Ensembl.